Molecule: microRNA precursor, 104 nt
Filed under: Ictidomys tridecemlineatus (thirteen-lined ground squirrel)
Lineage: Eukaryota; Metazoa; Chordata; Mammalia; Rodentia; Sciuridae
Description: miRNA (ENSSTOG00000032717.1)
Source: RNAcentral
UUGCAAGUGCUAGAGUGUGUGCACUUAUGUGUGCAUGUAUGUGUGUUUGUGCAUGCAUGCCCCUUUCCAGCAAACCUUCACAGCCUUCACAGGCCUGCUCACAC